UCUUAAUUAGAUCUAUAUUCAAAGACUAACCAAAGCUAGCCUUUGAAUAUGGAUCUAAUUAAGAAUUUUGGAAAACUUGCAGAAAAGUUUUAUAAAGUAAGAAAUUUAUUUAUUCUUAGAUCAGUGUAAAAUAAAUAGAGUUUAUCCCCAUUCUUUUAUAAACAUAUGUCUCCCAAUUAGAUCUAGAAAGAUACUGGAAAAUACAAAAAGAAUAUGUUUUAAAUUUGCUCUUAGUGACAUUAUGCAGAUUUUCCACUCAUAUAGAAUAAAAUUUGAAGAAUAUGAAAUAAAGCUUAAUAAUAUAUCUCAGCAGAAUUGAUUAGAUAGGCUCUCUAGAAUAAGAUUGAAAUUAACCAAGAUACAGAGGGAUUUGAAGGUUAAGCAUGUUAAAAAAUUAAAGUGGUUAAUUAGUUUGCAACUUAAAAAUAAGAAUCAAGUUAAGCUAUGUAUAAAAGAUAUUUUAGUAGUUAUAGGAGAUAUAGUCAUGCCAUAUUGCAUUAGAGAUUUAUUUUUAAAGGGGACUCUGUAUGCUGUUAUUGACAAACAAUGCAUUCUUAAGAGUAUUCCAACCAUAGACUUGAUAAAACUAUUGGAUAUGCUAGACAAAGAGAGAAUAAGAUAGAAAGUAAUAGAGGAGAGAUCCAAAUGAAAGAAAAAAGCUGAUGAAACAUUAUCUAAAAGAGAGCACCUCUUAGUUAAUAGGACAUUAGAAUGGCUAAAAGAAAACAAGUUAAUAAUUACCAGAGAUAAGUAAAAAAAAAACUAGUUAUGUUAGAGGAAGAGAAGUAUAAGGACAUGCUAAGACAAUAUAUUGUAGAAUCAGAAGCAAUAGAGAUCCAGAAUGAUCUGACUUUUAUGCUUACAAAUAAAGUAGGGAGGCUACUUAAAAAGAACUAUACAGAAUGCUUUAGGACCAAGGCAAUAAAAAGCCAGCAUAUCCAAGACUAUUUGGGUUUAUUAAGACGCAUAAAGCACCUAUAUUCUCUAGACCUAUAGU
Molecule: long non-coding RNA, 997 nt
Filed under: Androctonus crassicauda
Lineage: Eukaryota; Metazoa; Arthropoda; Arachnida; Scorpiones; Buthidae
Source: RNAcentral